This 168-nucleotide microRNA precursor is filed under the name Pelobates cultripes (western spadefoot toad). Lineage: Eukaryota; Metazoa; Chordata; Amphibia; Anura; Pelobatidae. The record is from RNAcentral.
GCAGACACAUUCCAGCCAAUCAGCAGCAGACCCUCCCUCCCAGACCCUCCCACCUCCUGGACAGCAUCCAUUUCACAUUCAUUGUAAACCUGCAUUCUUAGUGAGCUGUCCAGGAGGUGGGAGGGUCUGGGAGGGAGGGUCUGCUGCGGAUUGGCUGGAAUGUGUCUG